Molecule: non-coding RNA, 221 nt
Organism: Pelobates cultripes (western spadefoot toad)
Lineage: Eukaryota; Metazoa; Chordata; Amphibia; Anura; Pelobatidae
Source: the annotation of a GenBank genome assembly
AUUUUAUAAUUGUGUACCCAAGACACAGAUAGCCCUUUUGUGAACAGCAUGCCAGGCUAUAUUAAAUUUCUGUCAAAUAUGGAAUAAAUUUGACACACUAAGAUCCUCACCCUUUCCAAUGAACCCCAUAUCUAUAAAACAGAGCAUUCCCACAUGGAAUGAGACCCAGGGACUUCAGUGGUAUAGAGGAAACAGGGCUAUAUAUUUUCUUACAAAUGUAU